GUCCCGUCCCUGUUCCUCCCGGCCCCUCCACCCCAGGAAGCGAACGGGUCUUCCUGGAGUCGGGCUGCUUGGAAAUGCAGCCCAAGGCGGAUGAUAAAUUCCAUCUAAGGCUGAAUACUGAGACUAGGGAAGCAAUGUUUUCUUCCCCCCCCAUAACCGGCUUGAGUGCAAAUAGAGAUGCCUGCUGGGGAUUUAACAACUUUGACAUCUCGCUUUGACUUUUCUCAAAGCCCUGUCCUCAUUAUUAAAUUAGUGUUAAUUGGCUUUAGAGAUGGGAACCAAAUUUUCAGUCACAAAUUUUGACACCCUCAAGGGGACUUUUAAGGAGUUCCCACUCUGCUUUCUUGGGGAAGCCUAGCACUCGAAACAACUGCAAGCAGAGGAUGGACUUUUUGGGAACUGGCUACUAACAAGUUAGAAAAAAAAAAAAAGCCUAAACUAGAGGAACUGAUCCUGUGGGUGAAAGAUAGGAUUAAGGGACUCCCAGCAGCUGCCAGAGCCAUUUAGCUCUGGGGAGUUCCCUGGGUCCUUAUCUACAUCUUAAGGAUCUGUUUACUUAACCUGUGUUUACUUAAAAAGAAGGGACACUGAAUGCAGUAAAGCCAGUCACACUGAGACCCUUGAUUUUACACCUAUAGUUGCCCCUACGUGAAAACAUCUGGUCCACUCAUAGGAAAGUCUAUGGUGCCACUGAUGGGAGUCAUAAUUAAAUGAAAGUUCAAAACCUGGAGAAAUAUUUUCUUAUCUGGUUGUCUGAUUGUUUCUUAGGGAUAAUCUAGGUUAAAUGUGUGUCUAAAAAAAUAAAUAAUAAUAAUUUUUUAUUGUAACAAUCUGGUAUCUGAAUGGGUUUCUAAAGCAUUGCACUAUCUUGCAGUUAAAAGUUGGGUUUAAGCAAUUGUUUAGUUUGAUUUCAGAUAGUUCAUGCUAGAAAACUUAAAUACUUGGGAUAAAAAAAAAAAAUAAAAGUUUCAAUUUUGAACUGGGUAGCCUGAAAAAAAAAAUUAAAAAUAGAUCCAAAUAUCUUUAAUUCACUUGAUUCAAACGGUUCAAUUUAGAUUGGGUAAACAGAUAAAAGUAAAGAUGUCCUCAAAAUUAAGCUUAUAAGUUUCUCUAGGUGUUCAAAAAGGCCUUAAUAAAAUGUUAACUCUGCUUAAAUUUAAAAGUUUACAAGUAUUGUUUCAAAAUGUGAACAAAAGGAGGUUUAUAUAAUUAUGGUGUUAUUAAUGUGUUCAUAUCUUCCAGGUAUACAAGUCUGUAAGGUAGAAGCUUCAAAAGAACAUUAUAUCAAGCUGGUGUUCUAAAGUUGUAUGGUAAUUUUAGGCUUAAAAAAUAAAUGUUGGAGAUUCAAUUAUAUCAUUUGUGUUCUAUAACUGAACUUGUUAUCAAUAAGAUAUGUACGGUUCCAUGUUACUUUCUACUCUAAGAUACAAUUUAUGUAUUUUUAAGUUAAUAAGAGCCUAAUCUAUGUGAAGGUUUUAUUGCAAAACACAAAAGUACAUUACUACUUUUCUACAAGAGGUUAAAAGCUUUCAGCCUUUAAUUCAUAUUUUAGGUGUGAUAUUAUGUUGUGUUAGCUAAUGUUCAUGUAAACUUGAACAACAAUUUAUGUAAACUUUGUAAAAUGAUCAGCUUCAGAACUAUAGUACUUGAGAUUUAUAAAGAGCCCUGCCUUACUUGAGAUAAGGCUCUGUCCCAUCUCACUACAUGUGAAAGUGGCUAUGAAAAAAGUAAGCCAGAUUUCAGUACAGUUAAAGUUGUGUCCAAAAGUAGGUUUUUGCCAAGAUUACUAGGAUCUCAAACAGGAAAUUAUGAUGUAUAACCCUGCCAGAAUUCAAGGUAGCUAUUAUAUAAGCUAAAUAUGUUUUUACCCUAGUUAGUUUUGUUUUGUAGUUUGCUUAUAGAUGGUUUAAGGAUUUCCUAUUAAUAUUCUAAAGAGGUAUUGCUUUAAGAACACAACCUGGGUCAACAUAAGAUAAAGAGUUAUCACCUACAGGAUAGAGAGAUAGACAUUAAAGCCCAGUGCUCUUAAUAUAAGGAUGUUAACUUAUUUGCUGGAUGUUUAAGAUCAAGUUUUUAAAAUUAAUUAAAUUAAAAGGGCCAAAAAAACCAAUAUUUGGCUCUUGCCCUCUGAGUCAGUCUGAAUCAGGGAAUAGGGGACUUCUCCAAAGGGCUCAGCAACUCUAGGCCACAUAACCUCCUGAGCAGGGAGAUUAAUGAGACCAGUGGAGGACAGAAAGCCAAAUGGUGCAUUUGCUGUAAAGAGGAGGGUCAUUAAAAAAGGGAGACAUCCCUGAUGCUUCUGAGGGAAGCCAUACGGUCAAACAAGGCCUGGACCCAUCCUAGCGCAAAUGGCACUAGCAGAACUGAAAAGCUGCUAUGAAGUUCCCGAGGACUCCCAGGAUAACUCAGCUGACUGUAAACAAUAGGUAGAAACAAAAGUCAGUUUGACUUGCUUCAUCUUAAACACUUAGCAAAGACAGUCAAAGCCAAAGCACAGCUGUUCCUGGACAUCUUAAAUGAUAAUAAUAAUUAAAUGUAACUUCCAUAAAUAAAUAGACUGGAGGCUACAAGAGAGAUUCUUAGACAGAAAUGCCUGAUAACUGUCAAAGGGACUACUAGAAUAGUUUUAGUCUAAGGCUUUUAUUUCUAGCCAACGCAGGUAGACUUGAUGUUUGCUAAUAUGGUUAUCCAGCCCUAAGUAGCAGAAUUAAAGAUUUCUCUAUUAGACACAGAGGAGAAACAAAAGGUUCUCUUGGAAGCUCGCAAAAAUGUGCCAGGGGAUGUUGGGCGCCCCACCCAACUCACAAAUUUGAUUAAUGAAGCUUUUCCUUUAACCCGGCCAAACUGGGACUAUGCGACUGAAGCAGACUCAUUUGCAUGCUUUGCAAUUGGUCCAGAACGAGGUCUGGAAGCCUCUAGCCGCAGCAUACAAAGAGGAACUUAAAACCCCCUUGCUGCCACAUCCCUUCAAGGUCGGAGAUACCGUCUGGGUACGCAGGCACCAGAGCAGGAACCUCGAACCGCGGUGAAAAGGACCCUACACUAUCCUGCUGACCACUCCUACUGCACUCAAAGUGGACGGCAUCGCUGCUUAGAUCCACGCUUCCCACGUGAAGACUGCACAUCCACAGGAGUCUGCAGACACCUCUCCGGAUCCAGAAUGGAAGUUGCAACGUACCCAAAAUCCGCUAAAGAUAAGACUCACUCGCUGUUAUUUUUCUUGCUUUGUGCUGUGUCUUCCCCAUAUCAGUUAACCCCAACCAAUCUGUGAGCCAGACAUGACAAGUAUUAUCGGGGACAAGAAAUAUAAUUUAAAAAAAAAAAUCCGCAAAAUACCCCCUUUGGGCUUGAUGGCCUACCCUAGGGCCUGAUCUUUGUCACCUGCUGGCUGGGGCAAACGACUUUGAUAGCCCAGGUGAGUCAGAAGCGUGCGUCACCAGUGGACACUGCACCUAUAUAAAUCGUCCAACAGGGUGUAAAGAUCUGAGAGCUCGAGCGGCUCUAAGAGAAAAACCCUUCUAUGUAUGCCCUAGGGACGGGAAAACUAGGUCGCAGGCACAAAAAUGUGGGCAACAUGAAAGUUACUAUUAUAAGUCUUGGGGAUAUAAAACUACGGGGGAUGCAUAGUAGAAGCCAAGCUCAUGUUAGGAUUUAA
Molecule: long non-coding RNA, 3655 nt
Organism: Marmota monax (woodchuck)
Lineage: Eukaryota; Metazoa; Chordata; Mammalia; Rodentia; Sciuridae
Exons: 2
Source: RefSeq, a predicted model, not a curated record